CAUUUAUAUUAUGGGUAUAUGAUCUUCAGCUGUAAAUUGUUUUCAAAUUUUUUGUAAUAAGAAUGAAGUUUGUCCGUUAGUUUUUUUCCAUAUCUGAAUUAAUCAGUGUUGGCCGCGUACUAGUUGUCAUAUAUAAAUUUUAGUACUUCUUAUGAUGACAAUACAGCAGUUUACUCAAGGAAUGGAGACGCAUGGAUUCACUUAUCUCACACGUGGGAAAGUAUCAACAUCCUACAUUAAUGGACUGGAGGAGGUCGAGAAUAUUGCAGGUUUAAUGCAGUCUACGUAUAAUAGUUACUCAAAAAGGCAGUACGGCAGAUCACUCAAGUCACGCUGAUACAUGAAUUCACAUUUCUCACGCGUGGGAUAGUAUCAACAGCCUACGUUGCAAAUGGACUAGAAGAUGCUGAGAAUAAUACGUGUUAUAUGCAAUAUGGCAGUACGGCAGUUCACUUAAGGAAUGCUGAG
Molecule: long non-coding RNA, 468 nt
Organism: Rhopalosiphum maidis (corn leaf aphid)
Lineage: Eukaryota; Metazoa; Arthropoda; Insecta; Hemiptera; Aphididae
Exons: 4
Source: RefSeq, a predicted model, not a curated record